Molecule: long non-coding RNA, 4753 nt
Filed under: Marmota monax (woodchuck)
Lineage: Eukaryota; Metazoa; Chordata; Mammalia; Rodentia; Sciuridae
Source: RNAcentral
UUUGGAAGGACUAAGAAGCCAAAGCCAGUUUGAAGACAUGAGAUCAAGCUACAUUAGAGAGCUCAUCAAAGCAAUUGGUUUGAGGCAGAAAGGAGUUGUCUCUAGUUCACAGCGUUUCUAUCAACUUACAAAACUUCUGGAUAGCUUGCAUGAUGUAAGUAUUUUGCUCCCCAGGAUAUCAGUACUUGUUCUCUAGAUUUAUCUAACUUUUUAAAUGUUAAAUCUAAAUUUUACUUGAUAUGUUUUCAUCAAAUUUGUAUUUGUGCUCCUGGUUUAAAGAGUUCUGAUAUCAUACUGUUCUGAAUUUAUAUUGGGCUUUUUUUUCAUUUUCAGUGUAGAUCACUGAAAUAGACCUUUAUUAGUAUUUAUAUAACCGAAGAGUAAUUUAAUGGCUGGUAGGAAUUAGGAUACAUUUCCCAGAAUAUGUUCUAAAAUAUUUUGCUUAAAACUAGCAAAGUUUUUUAUAUAGGUAAUAAAAGCUAAAGUAUGGAUGUAGAAAAUAAUAAUCUACCAUUGAUGUGGAAUUCUAAAUAACGUGGCUGUUGGGAAAUCAGGCACUAUAUAGCAAGAGCUAAAAUUUGCAUGCUUUUCAAGGUUUUAUUUUUCAGAAUUUAUCUUAAAGACAUAAUUAGGCAAGAAUUUAAGUUUUUAAAUUAUUUCUGGAUUUUUUUUUCUCUGCUGUGAUGAACAACCCAAAAAUGUCCAACACCAGAACUGGAUUAUUAAAACAAAACAUAUGUGGUUAGUCAAGACAUAUCGAAUAGAAGUUUUUAUUGCUGCAAUGCUCAGAAACCACAUUAAAAUGACAGUUAAGCCAUAAAAAAGGCUAUCUACUCACCAGGUCAACUUUUGAGUCCUUACUUCUGAAUAUGAAUAGAUUGCCAAGAGUGUGAGCUAUUCAAGUGAAGCCUCUAAAAUGCAAAGCAGACAACUAAAUAAGCAGGAAAAAAGCAGCUUGAAGGAACAAACAUCAGUACAGACAACAAAAGAACACUUUUAAGCCCCUCAGAGAAAUAAGAAUGAUAUUUUGUCUAAGAAAGGAGAAUUUAAAAAAUGAACAUUAAGCAAGAAAAAUGCUUUUGGAUGAUUAAAUAUAGAGAAGAAAUUAAAAAUUCAACAAGAGGGAUAAAAUAUAAACUCUCAGAAAAUAAUUUAAAAAUUAAUUCAAGAAAAAUUAGGAGAGAGAGCAAAUUUAAGGAAUUAAUCUAGGGAUUUCCACCCCCAAUUAAUAGGAAUUUCCAGAAGACAGAUAAGAGAAAAAUCAAAAGAGGAAAUUACAUAAUAAUCAAAGUUACUGGAACUGCAAAAUAUGAGCUUUAAACUCUAUGGGCAUGGUGUACAGGUAUUGCAUACUUGAACAAGGGUACAUUAUUAUAAAAUGUGAAUUCAGAAUAUCAGAAAUGAGGAGACUAUCCUAAAUAUACUAGAGAUCAAAAGAAAAAGUCACAAACAAAUUCUCCACAUUAAGAAUGACAUUGGACUUCUCAAAAGCAACACUGGAAGCCAGAAGAUGGAACGAUGCAUGAGCAAUGCCUCUAGAAUUUUGAUGGAAAAGAAAAUUUAUUAAAGAAUUAGAUUUCAAGCCAAUUCACCAAACGAGGCAAUGAUAAUAUAAAAGUAGUAUUUCUACUCAUGCAGUCUCAGAGUUUAUGUCAAAUAUAACCUGUCCUGAGAACUACCACAGAAUGUGUCACAGCAAAACAAUAAGCCAAAGAAGUACAGGAUCCAACCCAAGAGUGAUGCCAAAGAUGCCCUAGUAAUUGUACAGAGAAGUCUAGAUUGGAACAGCAAGACAAAGUGUUCUGGGAUACCAGCUUCAGGAAUUAUUAUUGGGAGACCGCCGGUAGGCAUAACCAUAGCAAGGUAAAUUUUUUCAUUGCUAUCAAGAAAAUUUGACUAUGGCUUUGUACCAAUAUGAAGAAAUAAAGCAAACAAGAAUACUAGGGGAUUAGCUCUUACAACUUAAAAACAAGUCAUGUAAAGAAGGAAAUGUAAUCCAGAAGGGAAACAAUACAAAUCUUUGUAAUAUAAUUGCUGGAAACUGAUUUAGCCAAAUAUUGAAAUGUAUGCAGAGAAUGGGGAGAAGAGAAAAUAUGGUUGAGGAGCAGAGUAUGUAGUAUAAGAGAACUAAAUCCUCAGUUUUCAUAGCACGACCUCAAUAAUGUCAGAAUGAAAAGAAAAUGUUUAUUUGAGAUACAGAUAUAAAUGUCAAAAGACACAGAUUUUAAAAAUAAAGAAAGUUAGUUGUGUCUGGGGAACUGAAAUAAGAAGUGCAUCAGAAGUGCAGAGGAAUUUUGUUGCUGCUGCUACUGCUGUUUUUGUUAUAAACCUUGAAGUUCUUUUUAACUUUCAAAAUCACAUACAUGAAUUACUUUAAUAAAAAUUAAAAUUUGAUUAAAAUGUUGAGUUAUUGAUAUAAAGACAUCAACAUAUAAUUAUGUGAAAAAGCCAGAUUGACAAAUAGAAUUUAUGUCAUAAUUUCAGUUAAAAAAUAUAUGUGUAAUAUUGUCAAUAGGCUUAUGUAUGCAUAUAUAUAUAUAUAUAUAUAUAUAUAUAUAUAUAUAUAUAUAUAAAAGAGGAAAAAACUUGAAACUGUUUUGAAGCUGAAAUGUUCACUUUGGUUAUUUUAUGGAAACAUGGAUAAAUGUCAUUCCUUUAAAUCUUUCCUUAGUAUUAGAAUGUCGCAUCAUGAGUAUAUGAUACUUGCACAUUCUAGACAGUGAUGGGAAUUAUUUUCAGUUUGGAAGGAAGAAAGUCUUGACAAGUAUUUCUAUUGUUAGGAAUAUGUUAUGUUUGCAUAGCAUACAAAUCUACUUAUUUAUUUAUUUAUUUACAUUUCCUACCCAUUUGUUAAACUGACAGCUUGUCAAACAACUUCAUCUAUACUGCUUGAACACAUUUAUCCAGUCCCGGGCACUGAGUGUUGAAUUUCCAGAAAUGAUGUCUGAAGUUAUUGCUGCACAGUUACCCAAGAUCUUGGCAGGGAUGGUGAAACCUCUUCUCUUUCAUAAAAAGUGAAUGUCAGUUUUCUUUCAAAAAAUUAAAUCUGUGGUAUGUCAUUGUUUUGGUUAGGGUUAUGAGGUCUUUGGUUUUUAUAUUCUUCUGAACGCCUUACAUUUAUAACAUAUCAUAUUGUGUAAAUUUAUGAAAAAAAAUGUGAGAUUCUAACUUUCCUUUGUUAAGCAUCAUUCAAAUUUUAAAAGUGUCUUGUGUACCCAUAGUUUCUUUUAGAGUUUUUAAGACUGAAAGAUUGUUGAAGUAAAUUAUGUCUUAUCCAUAUUAUUUCAUACCAUUUAGGUGAGACUUUUUAACUUUUGCAUCAAACAAAUCUUCUACUUUAGAAAAAAAAUUCACAUGUAAUAAUAAAAGUCUAUUAUAUAUACUACUUAUGGAUAACUCACUUUACCUUCCUAGUUAUGCUUAGAGAAAUGAAUCUUUAAAUGGCAGGCAAACUUUAAACAAAAAUUUUAUAAUCUUAACUAGAUUUUCAAAAAUUUUUUAAUGGAAAAAAUAUAGAAAUGGAGUAUAAAACCAAAAAUGGUUUGAUGUUUCUCAAAGUAGGCAAAACAACUCACAUGUUAAGAUCAUUGUCCAGGCCAGAAAUACGGAUCUCUAGUAAAGAAAUUAAUAAGUAGCCCUGCUGUAGUAACAGUAUUGGAGCUUUUGUUGGCUUUUUAUUAAAUAUUUUGGGGGAGGGAAUUGUCCUCAAAUAAAAUAUUGCGAUUAGAAAAUAGAGGUCAGAAGAAUUUUGUGACCUAAUUCCAUUCCUUAUCAUUGGUGACAUGCAGAAAGUCACUCGAUCUUACUGAUUUUCAAUUUCCUGAUCUUUAAAAGUAAAAUGUAAGAAUAUCUUUCCUGCCAAAUGCUUCUUUUGGCCAGAGUUUCUUAUUAACAUCUUCUCAAACCAAAGAUAGAAGGAAGGGAAGGAGAAAAGGAGGAAAGAAGCUUAAAGGAAGAAAGGGAUAAAUAUAUAUAUAUUUUUUUCCUUCCCUCCAUUAUUCAAACAUUUGAGGAUGGUGUUUUUCAGUGAAAUAUAAUAGAUGAUUCUCAGGUUGAAAAAUUUUGUGAGUGCCUCUGAUCCAAAUCUAAAGGAUACUUCAGGAAAUAGAUGAAUCUCAGGUUGAGAGCUUCUGACCCAAUUCUAAGAGAGCUGCUUCAGGAAUUGCUAGAUAAUGGCUUAAAACAGUACACCCAAUUACAGUAACUAGAAAGCACACAAUUCACAUUGUUACUUGAAUUGAAAAUAUUCCUUUGGAAGACAAACAAGAGUAAUUUUGUCUGUGGUGAAUCACUGGAGAUACUUUUUUUACAAAAGAAAAAUAUAUAAAAGAAAAUAUAUACAUAUAUAUGUAUAUACACACACACACACACAUAUAUAUAUAUAUGUGUAUAUAUACAUAUAUAUAUAUAUAUUUUGUACUUGGUAUAUGUACCAGCUGUUCAUUAGACCUAUCUGGCACAUAGAAUGUGUACAUAUACCAAGUUCCUACUGCUGGUGAAAUGCAAUCAAAAUCAAUUAUUUCCUUUUAUAAAGUAAUUUAUAUCAAUUUUAGGCAUAUAUAUGUAUGUGCAAAAUUUUUAACAACUCAUAUUUUUUUCCUAAGUUUCUUCAAAAGUGAAAAUAUUGCUGUCUUACAAAUAAAACCUAUCUUCUUGUGUAAAUUAAUAAUUGCUAAUGUGAAUAUUAAACUUUAAAAAUAUAGAAAAAAUUUCUAUAUGUAAGUUUCUGAUUUCUGAAUGCAUUUUAAUUAUC